GGCUAAAUUUACUGGUAGAAAUUAUCUUAAUACUUUAUUCGGCUAUUGUUUAUAUUCGGGAGCAGUUGUUGUGGGAGUGUGAUGACAGAUGGAUGGUUCUGAAGAACGUUGGAUCAGCAGGAAACAGCCACUCCUGAUGAAUCCACUUCCUCCUGGUUGACGUCUGUGUUUUAUUUCAGUAUAAACAACAAAACACUGAUAUGCACAAUGUAAGUUUAUAAGAAAAAAAUUAUGUAUUCAUUAAUUAGGUAUAAUUGAUACAAUGCAUGUAGCGGAAUUAUUUCUCCUUGUACGUAGACUAAUCAAGUUAACAACAGUGUUUGCUCACAAAACAAACCUUUGAGUACAAACCAACAGGUGCACAGCAACAGCGAUCAGGAGCAAAUACACUUCUCUAAUAUGGAUUUGUAAUAGUUAUGUAUUUUAUUAUAUAUCAGAGUGCAGUUGUCUUUAAUUAUGUUAAUUCAAUGCACUUUUGCAAAUAGUGUAUCAGGAAAUCUACCUGAUUCAAUUAUAAAGAGUACUUUUUUACAAUACAAUUCUUUGGAUCAUGGUGUAGUUUUUUCAAUUAUAACAAAAAGAUUUGUAUUUUAUGUUUUUUUAGCUUCUGAAUUAACUUUUCAAUUCUUUGUUCAGGCAAAUUUUGUUAAUCUCAUUAAUAGUAAAUUUCAAAUGUUUUGUCAAAUUAGUAAAAACAGUAAUAGUAUUGUAUAAAUAUAGGAGUUGAUAGGAGAGAGGUGAGAGUGAGAGAAGAGAAUCUCUCAGAUCAUUCAAAAAGGUAGAUCAGGUACCAAUAACCCGGGUGAGUGAGUGUUCAGAGGAGAGACAGAGAGCGGGAGAGUGGAGAUACUCUCAGAGUUCUGUUCAGACAGGUUGCAAUAACCUUAGGUUCAGGUUUCAGGGUUCAGGGUUCAGGUUUCAGAAUAUCAGGGUUUUCAGGCUUCUGUAUACAGAUAGAGUGGGAUAGAAGAGGGAUACAAAGAUAGAGUUUCCAAAAUCAGACAGAGCGGUAGAUUUGACAGGAAAGCUAGAGUUAUCAAAUUGUAGACAGAGUGGAUACAAGGUAUAGGAGAGACAGAGAGCCAAUGGGAUAGAGGAGGAGAGAUGCUGGACAGCAGGACACCUGCAAGACACAAGAAAAACAUCCGUUAGACAAUCUUCUACCACCACUGGAUCAUUGAAGGUGUCAUCUAACCGUAACAUAUAUAUAUAUAUAUGCUGGCAGGCACUUAUUGAGUGUUGAUUAAUUAAUUAUAGACUAUUCUCUUGGAAAAUGUUGACAGAGGGACAUCAAAACUGUAGAAGGCUAAAGCUGUUGGUUGUACAUCAAGAACUGUCAACAAUGAUUCCUGAGCCGAUGUGGGGCUCCCGUGAUGCUAGUCACCAGCCGUUAUGGUCUGCCGUCCAAGAUAGAAAAGGCGAGUCGGCAGGAGGACGAGGAGGGUGACGGAUGAAGAGAGGGAGAGAAAAGAAGAAAUUUUCAGUUCAGUUUAUUUAAAAUGUACUUUCAAUGUAUUUCCUUAUUGAUAAUUUUUGUCUCAUUGAAAAAUCACAAUUUUCACAAAAUUAAUAUAAAGAAUAUAAAUAUUAAUUGCAGUGUGGCAGAUUUGUGGCAAUACUGACUGAUGUCAACAAGACAACAAAUAAUGAACAUACAUAUUGAAUAUAUUAUUUCAAUAUGUGUUAAUGCCUCUCGGGGACUUUAAUAAUUAAAAUGGCUCUC
This is a long non-coding RNA of Gasterosteus aculeatus aculeatus (three-spined stickleback), 1723 nucleotides long. NCBI's taxonomy places the organism in Eukaryota, Metazoa, Chordata, Actinopteri, Perciformes, Gasterosteidae. The record is from Ensembl.